CCUGACGACCAUAGCGAGUUGGAUCCACCCCUUCUCAUCCCGAACAGGGCAGUGAAACGACUCUACGCCGAUGAUAGUGCGCAUGCGCGUGUGAAAGUAGGACAUCGUCAGGC
Ribosomal RNA from Candidatus Glomeribacter gigasporarum BEG34, 113 nucleotides. NCBI's taxonomy places the organism in Bacteria, Pseudomonadati, Pseudomonadota, Betaproteobacteria, Burkholderiales, Burkholderiaceae. The record is from Rfam.